CACCAUAGAUUUAUAACUAACCUAGAUGCCUAGUCUGUACAUCCCUAGUGAAGCCAUUUCGAGUACGACAUUAUGUCGCCCUCGUGUCAUCGUAUCCGAACGGCCCUCGCAGUACUCAAGGUCGAGUUGGUUUGUGUACACCUCCCGGUUAUAAAUUAAAAAAUACAAGAAAGAUGGUUGUUUGUGCGGUGAAUUGGUGUCACAACACAUCAGUGAAUAAAAACAAACCGCCUGAUAUAACAUUUCAUGCAUUUCCGACUGAUCCGCUUCUGUCUGCGAGAUGGACGGAAAAAAUUAGAUUAAAUAGGAACGAUGCAAUAUGGAAACCGACUAAACAUAGUCGAAUAUGCUCUCGCCAUUUUGAUGAGCAAGUAAAGUAAAUUUUAUUUGUGGAACACAGGUGUUAUAGUUAAGGUCUGUAAAACGAAACGCAACUGUCACUGUCGCACUUAUAUGGAAACUGAAAGAGAGACACAAAGCGUUUCGUUGUUCGAAGCAAUAGCGAUUGCCACCUUGGCUAGGCCUGCAGGUACAAUUACUAGUACUGACGAUAAAUAGUUAUUUGUUUUACAAGUGGAAAAGUUGUUGUUUAACCGCUCGUGCUAAUAUUGCUACUCGAGCUAAAUAAAGAUACAAAAUGUCGAAAAAUGGAAUCUUGAGCGUUGCGAGGGUUUCAAGUUACGAGAGUUAAACAAAUUUUGCCCCAAGUGAAACACAAAACUUUUCACCACACUAACCCGAAGAAAAUAUUAGUCAAAUAAAAUCAAACCAAAUCAAAUCCAAAUGAUCGUCAUUAAAUAUUUAUCAUUUAAAAUCAUUAUUCCAAAGUCAAUUCUACCAGCUAUUAUCUGUGCACAUUUGUAAAAUAAAAAAAUAAACGUUUUUUUUAUUUAAACAUUAUUUCACAAAGUACAGAAAUGCAAAGUCCUUAAAAGAAACCUUGAAAGCUUUUGCUACAAAUUUAAUAUCUACAUACACACUCCCAAAUGAUUGAUAGCCAAGUAUAAGGAUGUGGUUAAAAUCCAUCUACUUUAAGGGGAAUAAAUGAACUCUGGCAACCCGUUUUUGUAUAUAUGUGUGUGUCGCUGAGCGUAAGACACGAGCGUCGCACGCACACAUCGAUCGAGUUUCGGCUUCACUUUUGGCAGAUUAGCCUUAUGAGGACUAACUGUCUAUGUGUGAUAGGUCAGUGCUGUAUGUUAU
Molecule: long non-coding RNA, 1203 nt
Organism: Cydia pomonella (codling moth)
Lineage: Eukaryota; Metazoa; Arthropoda; Insecta; Lepidoptera; Tortricidae
Exons: 3
Source: RefSeq, a predicted model, not a curated record